This 111-nucleotide ribosomal RNA is filed under the name Caerostris darwini. The record is from RNAcentral. Lineage: Eukaryota; Metazoa; Arthropoda; Arachnida; Araneae; Araneidae.
ACGGCCAUACCAUGCUGAAUAUACCGGUUCUCGUUAGAUCACCGAAGUCAAGCAUCAUUGGGCGCGGUCAGUACAUGGGCGGGUGACCACCUGGGAACACCGCGUGCCGUU